UUCCUGGUGGUCCAGUGGUUAAGAUUCUGUGCUUGCACUUCAGUGGACAUGGGUUUAAUCCCUGGCCAGGAAA
Molecule: non-coding RNA, 73 nt
Organism: Bos taurus (domestic cattle)
Lineage: Eukaryota; Metazoa; Chordata; Mammalia; Artiodactyla; Bovidae
Source: Rfam